UCGCUCCUGUGGCACAGAUCACUAUCCACUGGGACCAUGGCCCCAAGACUCUGUUAGAGCCCAGGUGGCAUUUCCCAACAACUGUGGUGUCUGGUGUGCAUCUGAGCUGCAUGGGGAUCAGACAUGUUAUGCCCAGGAAUGGAAAGCUCAGACAUUCCAAACAGGACUGAGUAGCAGUGGGAAACACAGAUGUUAAACCAAGGUCCUCUCUGUUCAUUCCUGGUCACUGUCCAGGCGGAGGCUAAAGAUCCCAAGGGAUAACCCCAGCCUCCUGGCUAAACAACGUGAGAGCUGUUGCUUAUCAUGCAAUGGCAGCUGUGUGUCCCCUGCGCAGGCCUGGCCUAACUCAUUACUUUGUAAACUAAAAUGCUUUGAAACACUCUAUGGAAAGGAGAAUACUCCAGUGCCUGGCGCAGAGCAGGUAGGAGUCAGGACUCUAGGGUUCCGUUCCUGCCUCCAUCACUGACUUAGGACCCGAUUCUCCAUCGCCCUGUACCUCAUGCUGUCAUUCCCAUGGUCUGAGCACACUGCACGGCCUGUACCACCGCACAGUCCAUAGGUGCCUUCAGAACCAGCACCUCAUCAAGCUUCACUGGAAAAUGCUACCCAGCCUGAGACGAUUCUGCUGAAAGAACAUCAGCAGUGGAAUGUCCCUGUUCAAGCUGCAUCACUGUAUCGUCAGCAUUUUUCUAUCUCCCGUUAGCGCCUCUGAGGGCAGAAACAGGAUGUAGGUAAAGGUAACAGCUUCCCCCUGCCUCUCUGUGGUCUCAGAAACCUGCACGUUUCCACCACCUUCCCACACCACAGCCUUCUGACUUAGCCCCGUCUCCUGUUUGCUCACGUAAAGCUGGUUUCAAACCCAAGAUGUAAACAAAAGCCCUGCACCAAGAGACAUGCUGUGCUUCAUGCAGUGAGGUUGUGGUGGUCACAAGAUGUCUGGGGAGAGGAGUCAGUUACACAGAUCAGCCUGACCAUGAGAAAAUAAAACCUCAUGCUGCAGCACCCCAGCAAGCACUUUGCGUGCCAUAUGGCUGUACCUACCUCUGUAAUGUGGUGCGCUGAUGACAUACACAAUCUGUUACAGAGCACAGAAGAAGAGACGGUCCAUGCCUUGAGGAGUUCCUCAUCUCACACAUCAACAAAACCAGGGCCAUGGCUCAGGACAGGCAGGGAGUGCAGGCAACGCUGCCGUGCCUGGGGGAGCUUGGGACAUGCAGAUGGGAGAUCCCAGCUGUGAGGCGCCAGAGGUCACCAGCCCCUGCCCUCGCGGCACGG
This is a long non-coding RNA of Mauremys reevesii (Reeves's turtle), 1275 nucleotides long. RefSeq lists it as uncharacterized. Lineage: Eukaryota; Metazoa; Chordata; Testudines; Geoemydidae. The record is from RefSeq and is a predicted model, not a curated record. The transcript is spliced from 3 exons.